GACGUAGGGCGCGAGCGUUGUCCGGAUUUAUUGGGCGUAAAGAGCUCGUAGGCGGCUUGUCGCGUCGAAUGUGAAAUCUCAGGGCUCAACUCUGACAUUGCAUUCGAUACGGGCAGGCUAGAGUUCGGUAGGGGAGACUGGAAUUCCUGGUGUAGCGGUGGAAUGCGCAGAUAUCAGGAGGAACACCAAUAGCGAAGGCAGCUCGCUGGGACGGUACUGACGCUAAGGCGCGAAAGCGUGGGGAGCGAACAGG
RNAcentral lists this ribosomal RNA (253 nucleotides) under uncultured bacterium. RNAcentral's name for it is "partial 16S ribosomal RNA". It matches the Rfam family "Bacterial small subunit ribosomal RNA", at positions 524 to 776 of the family's 1533-position model. The record is from RNAcentral.